Molecule: ribosomal RNA, 252 nt
Filed under: uncultured bacterium
Lineage: Bacteria
Description: partial 16S ribosomal RNA
Rfam family: Bacterial small subunit ribosomal RNA
Source: RNAcentral
UACGUAGGGUGCGAGCGUUAAUCGGAAUUACUGGGCGUAAAGCGUGCGCAGGCGGCUUGCUAAGACAGGUGUGAAAGCCCCGGGCUUAACCUGGGAAUUGCGCUUGUGACUGGCAGGCUGGAGUGUGGCAGAGGGAGGUGGAAUUCCACGUGUAGCAGUGAAAUGCGUAGAGAUGUGGAGGAACACCGAUGGCGAAGGCAGCCUCCUGGGCCAGCACUGACGCUCAUGCACGAAAGCGUGGGGAGCAAACAG